CACAGGAUGGCACAGGAUGGCACAGGAUGGCACAGGACAGGAUGGCACAGGACAGGAUGGCACAGCACGGCACAGGAUGGCACGGCACACUUCCCCAGUGCUGGAAAUGCCCCGUGCCCAUGUGCCCCACUGCCUGCAGUGCCCCACUGCCUCCCCCUUUCCAUUCGAAAGCGAUGGGUGGGGGAACAAGGGGGAAAAGGAAGCGGCAGCAACAACCAGCGAGUGAAACAUCGGCGGCAGCUGCCGGAACCAAAGCGAGACCAUCACCUCCCAAAAGGGGCUGCGAUGGGGGCACGGCCCCAGCCUGGAGUUGGGAUGGAGCUUUUUACACCUCUGCUUAAAUCUGCCUCAUCCAGCGCAGGGAAAUGGGGAUGCAGGAGCAAAGGCAGGAGCCGGGAAUGGGAAUGGGAAGGAGAGCCAUGGCCAAGCCAGGGAGAUGGUGGGAGCUGCCGAGAGUUCACAGGGAACACAAAGACAAAUUCUUUAAGAAAAAAAAAAAAAGGGAAAAAAAAAAAAGAAAUCAAAGGGAUGUGGAGAGGGAGAUAAGAGGGAAGACAGAGCAGGGAGACGGAGGGAGCGGAGAGGACGCGGGCAGAGGGAGGCAGGCGGCGCGGGGAGGCGAAGCGGGAGCCGGGGGAGCUGUCUGGCGCGUCCCUAUCGCCUCUCUCCAUCGCGGGAGCCCAACCUCAAGUAGUUUUUCACUGAGAUUGGAGUGAUCAGGUAGGGCUGCCCUCGGCGGCAGCUGCGGGGCUGUGAAUAAGCACCUGCUUAUCUCUGGCCAGCGGCUGUGCGCGGCUGCAGAUUGCGGGGGGACGGGAGCUGGCUGCCGGCUGCGAUUUCCAUAUCAGCGCCCUGCAGCCGCCUGCGCCAAAUAAACACAACAGCCCCACGGACAAAAGCCCUGGCUGGCAGAGGCCAGACUGGAAGAAGGCACAUCCUCCUCCUCCUCCUGGGCAUGCAAAGCUCUGCUGGCUCCACUUCUCACAGCCACAUUUGUGUAUUCAACAGCUUUCUCCUCUUAUCAAAGAAACCAUGAGCGACUCACAGCUCGGCUGGGCCACGGGGCCCAGGGAGAGACAGGAGGAGGUGCCCCGAUGGCCCCGGGGGAAGGAAGGAAAGGCUGGCUGGUGGCAUCGCCCUGCUUGUAGCUCAGACCCCGUGAAACCACCAGGGAUCCUCACGGGCUGCUCAUCCCUGUGCUGGGAGUCAGGGCUUGUCCCUCUCACCUGACACUCAGGAGUUGUUGAAUAUGGCAGGGGGUGCUGGUGUCACCCACCCUUUCCCCCACGUUCUCUCGGGGCUGCAGAGCUGCUCUCCUGCUGCAGCCAUCCCUGCUCCGGGAUGGUUUUUCCAUCCUGCACGUCCCACUCUCAGCACAUCCUGGCCAAGGGGCGCUGCCCCGAGUGUGCCCGUGAUGCUCCCACGAGGUCACACAGAACCCAAAGGAGCCUCACAGGGCAGCAGCCACGCGGCCGGGAAGCCUCGAGCCCACACGGCACCAGAUUUAGCCACAGCCACGCUCCUAAAAAUAGCCGGGAUCUGGGAGUGCAGAGCUGCAUCUGCUGCCACAGGAGCAGGCACGGAGCUCCAGCCCUCAUCCCACGGGACUGGGGUGAACAGGACCGGGGUGCACAGGACUGGGGUGAACAGGGCUGGGGUGCACAGGGCUGGGGUAAACAGGACUGGGGUGAACAGAGCUGGGGUACACAGGGCUGGGGUGCACAGGGCUGGGGUGCACAGGGCUGGGGUACACAGGGCUGGGGUACACAGUGCUGGGGUGCACAGUGCUGGGGUGCACAGGACUAGCCCCAGCACAAUUUGGCUCAAGGAGAGUUUGGAGGUACCAGCCUGGGAGGAUCCAGCCAUGCCUGUGCCAGCCUGAUGCCAGGGACAGGAGGACACCAGGAUGGAGACGAGAUGCUCUUGGUGCUGGGAUGCUCCUAAUCCACUGGGGAAUUGGAUGUGCAGCUGUGGAUAAGAAUAAUGAGAGUUGA
Molecule: long non-coding RNA, 1994 nt
Organism: Parus major (Great Tit)
Lineage: Eukaryota; Metazoa; Chordata; Aves; Passeriformes; Paridae
Exons: 2
Source: RefSeq, a predicted model, not a curated record